This 551-nucleotide ribosomal RNA is filed under the name uncultured bacterium. RNAcentral's name for it is "bacterial SSU rRNA". It matches the Rfam family "Bacterial small subunit ribosomal RNA", at positions 355 to 896 of the family's 1533-position model. The record is from RNAcentral.
UAGGGAAUCUUCGGCAAUGGGGGCAACCCUGACCGAGCAACGCCGCGUGAGUGAAGAAGGUUUUCGGAUCGUAAAGCUCUGUUGUAAGUCAAGAACGAGUGUGAGAGUGGAAAGUUCACACUGUGACGGUAGCUUACCAAAAAGGGACGGCUAACUACGUGCCAGCAGCCGCGGUAAUACGUAGGUGGCAAGCGUUAUCCGGAUUUAUUGGGCGUAAAGAGAGUGCAGGCGGUUUUCUAAGUCUGAUGUGAAAGCCUUCGGCUUAACCGGAAAAGUGCAUCGGAAACUGGAUAACUUGAGUGCAAAAAAGGGUAGUGGAACUCCAUGUGUAGCGGUGGAAUGCGUAAAUAUAUGGAAAAACACCAGUGGCGAAGGCGGCUACCUGGUCUGCAACUGACGCUGAGACUCGAAAGCAUGGGUAGCGAACAGGAUUAAAUACCCUGGUAGUCCAUGCCGUAAACGAUGAGUGCUAGGUGUUGGAGGGUUUCCGCCCUUCAGUGCCGGAGCUAACGCAUUAAGCACUCCGCCUGGGGAGUACGACCGCAAGGUUG